CCCUACUGCUAUCGGGGUGGGACUAAGACAUGCGAGUCGAGCGUCUCCAGCUAUGGUGAGACGCGGCAGACGGCUCAGUAACACGUGGCUAACCUACCCUCAGGACAGGGACAAACCCGGGAAACUGGGGCUAAUAUCCGAUAGGCGAGGGCGCCUGGAAUGGUUCUUCACCCAAAGGGCUUUGGAAGCAUGCUUUUCAAAGUCGCCUGGGGAUGGGGCCGCGUCCGAUCAGGUUGUUGGUGAGGUAACGGCUCACCAAGCCUAUAACCGGUACGGGCCGUGAGAGCGGUAGCCCGGAGAUGGGCACUGAGACAAGGGCCCAGGCCCUACGGGGCGCAGCAGUCGCGAAAACUCCGCAAUGCACGAAAGUGUGACGGGGCUACCCCGAGUGCCGUCCGCUGAGGAUGGCUUUUCCUCGGUGUAACUAGCCGGGGGAAUAAGGAGAGGGCAAGACUGGUGUCAGCCGCCGCGGUAAUACCAGCUCUCCGAGUGGUAGGGAUGAUUAUUGGGCUUAAAGCGUCCGUAGCCGGCUUAGCAAGUCUCCUGUUAAAUUCAGCGACCUAAUCGUUGAGCCGCGGGAGAUACUACUAGGCUAGGAGGCGGGAGAGGCCGACGGUACUUCCGGGGUAGGGGUGAAAUCCUAUAAACCCGGGCGGACCACCAGUGGCGAAGGCUGUCGGCUAGAACGCGCUCGACGGUGAGGGACGAAAGCUGGGGGAGCGAACCGGAUUAGAUACCCGGGUAGUCCCAGCCGUAAACGAUGCGGGCUAGGUGUUGGGGUGGCUACGUGCCACUUCAGUGCCGCAGGGAAGCCAUUAAGCCCGCCGCCUGGGGAGUACGGCCGCAAGGCUGAAACUUAAAGGAAUCGGCGGGGGAGCACCACAAGGCGUGAAGCUUGCGGUUCAAUUGGAUUCAACGCCGG
Molecule: ribosomal RNA, 922 nt
Filed under: uncultured archaeon
Lineage: Archaea
Description: bacterial SSU rRNA
Rfam family: Archaeal small subunit ribosomal RNA
Source: RNAcentral